GACAGAGGUGCCAAGCGUUAGGCGGAAUCACUGGGCUUAAAGCGUGUGUAGGCGGAUCGUUAAGUACCUUGUGAAAUCCCACGGCUCAACCGUGGAACUGCUCGGUAUACUGGCGGUCUUGAGCCACCUAGGGGCAACUGGAACAAGCGGUGGAGCGGUGAAAUGCGUAGAUAUUGGGAGGAACACCAGUGGCGAAGGCGGCUCACUGGACCGGUACUGACGCUGAGGCGCGAAAGCGUGGGGAGCAAACAGG
This 253-nucleotide ribosomal RNA is filed under the name uncultured bacterium. RNAcentral describes it as "partial 16S ribosomal RNA". It matches the Rfam family "Bacterial small subunit ribosomal RNA", at positions 524 to 776 of the family's 1533-position model. The record is from RNAcentral.